RNAcentral lists this transfer RNA (73 nucleotides) under Mustela putorius furo (domestic ferret). It matches the Rfam family "tRNA". Rfam says of the family: Transfer RNA (tRNA) molecules are approximately 80 nucleotides in length. Their secondary structure includes four short double-helical elements and three loops (D, anti-codon, and T loops). Lineage: Eukaryota; Metazoa; Chordata; Mammalia; Carnivora; Mustelidae. The record is from Rfam by way of RNAcentral.
GCCUGGCUGGCUCAGUGGGAAGAGCACGGGACUCUUGAUCUUGGGAUCGAGAGUUUGAGCCCCAUGUUGGGUA